UGAGGAAUCUUGCGCAAUGGGGGAAACCCUGACGCAGCAACGCCGCGUGAGUGAGGAAGGUCUUCGGAUCGUAAAGCUCUGUCAGUUGGAAAGAAAUGUCUGAGAGUCAAUCCCUUUCAGGCUUGACGGUACCAACAGAGGAAGCACCGGCUAACUCCGUGCCAGCAGCCGCGGUAAUACGGGGGGUGCAAGCGUUGUUCGGAAUUAUUGGGCGUAAAGAGCGUGUAGGCGGCCGGAUAUGUCAGAUGUGAAAGCCCCGGGCUUAACCCGGGAGGUCGAGUGGAAACUGGCGGGCUGGAGUAGGGGGGAGGGAGGGGGAAUUCCGGGGGUAGGGGUGAAAUUCGUAGAAAUCAGGGGGAAAACCGGUGGCGAAGGCGCCUUCCGGGCCC
This 389-nucleotide ribosomal RNA is filed under the name uncultured bacterium. Its description in RNAcentral is "partial 16S ribosomal RNA". It matches the Rfam family "Bacterial small subunit ribosomal RNA", at positions 355 to 735 of the family's 1533-position model. The record is from RNAcentral.